AGAUACCAGGGUCAAAAGGUCAUGCGUUUCAUGCUUGCAUGAAAAAGCAUGACUUUAGGAUUGCGGGAGCACAAAGUGCGGAGCAAUCCGUAGGUAUCA
This 99-nucleotide small RNA is filed under the name Muricomes intestini. RNAcentral's name for it is "Clostridiales-1 RNA". It matches the Rfam family "Clostridiales-1 RNA". The record is from RNAcentral. Lineage: Bacteria; Bacillati; Bacillota; Clostridia; Lachnospirales; Lachnospiraceae.